GGGGGUGUCACGGUUUCGACGGGGGUACGGAAGACGAGAGUGGCGUGUCGCGGGGGUCGACCAACCGUGUCAAAAAAUGGACGACGAAACACAGCUGCCAACGACAGCAACUACGGCCGCCUGGCCGCCGUCGCCUAACGGUGACGCACCUUCGUUCGAGGAGCCCGAGUAGGGCGAGGGUGUCGAUACACGGGCUAGCCGAGGUGUAGAUCCCGACGCCAAGGUGAAGCUCAGGGAUUGGAGACCGAGAUCGCGUGUCGGUGCGCGUGCUCGGGAUCGAGAUCAAGUCCACCGACUACGCACGUAGAAGCUCCGUUAGAAGGCCUUCGGACCCGGGUUCGACUCCCGGCGCCUCCACCA
Molecule: transfer-messenger RNA, 360 nt
Filed under: Nannocystaceae
Lineage: Bacteria; Pseudomonadati; Myxococcota; Nannocystales
Also listed under: 1 other name
Description: JAHZJA01 sp020633315 Standard tmRNA
Rfam family: transfer-messenger RNA
About the family: Bacterial tmRNA, also known as 10Sa RNA or SsrA, is named for its dual tRNA and mRNA-like properties. Its role is to liberate the mRNA from a stalled ribosome. To accomplish this part of the tmRNA is used as a reading frame that ends in a translation stop signal.
Source: RNAcentral